RNAcentral lists this long non-coding RNA (372 nucleotides) under Carica papaya (papaya). RNAcentral's name for it is "long non-coding RNA (CPAP_LNC001849)". Lineage: Eukaryota; Viridiplantae; Streptophyta; Magnoliopsida; Brassicales; Caricaceae. The record is from RNAcentral.
GAAUGUUAACUCAUUGUUAGUAAGCAAUAAGUCAAUCAGGGCAUCAAUCGGGCAAUUGGGUUCAAAAUCAACCCAAGAACAAUCGUUGGAUCUAAACCUUACUUUGGGAUUAUCCAACUACAGCAAGCAAAUGAUUGAUUAUGAAAUAGCACCAUCUACGCAACGGAUUAAUAAUGAGAAUUCUGAGCCAAUUAGACAGGGUUUAUGAUAUCUCCUCGUCAAGAAAGGGAUUGCUCAGACAUCAAAUCUUCGAUAGUCUUUUGCUUGUAACUCACUUAACCUGUAAAUUGCUAAUUAAAAAAAAAAAAGAAAUUUCAUGUAAUAAGUUUAUAAUCUGCUCGUCAAGAAGGGGAUUGCUUUACCCUGAACCCA